Molecule: long non-coding RNA, 1196 nt
Filed under: Corvus moneduloides (New Caledonian crow)
Lineage: Eukaryota; Metazoa; Chordata; Aves; Passeriformes; Corvidae
Description: lncRNA (ENSCMUG00000016852.1)
Source: RNAcentral
CUUCCUUCCUGCUUUCCUUUUUACUUUCUUUUCUUCUUAUCUUUAUUUAUUAAUUCUUCUAUCUCCUUCUCUCUCCCUCUCUCUUCCUCUCACAUUUUCCCCUUCUCUUUUCUCUCUCCUUCCGUUCUCCUUCUCUUUCUCCCUCUCUUUCUCUUCUCCUAUUUUCCUCUCUCUUUACUCUUCUUCUCUUCCUGCUUCUCAUUCUCUUCUCCUCGCUGCCUCGCCGUCCCCCUCCCGCCCCGCUCGCCCCUCCGCAGCCUCUGCUCGCCGUGUUUGGUUCCCGUUCCCUGCGCCGUGUUAUCCCUCCAACCCUCCCGCCCGGCUGCAGGUGUGUAGCUAUUUAACUCGUGGAGAUAAAUAAAUUAAAUAAUGAUCUUGACACUGCAAUGAACCGAUUACUGACUUUGAUGUCAAAGGGAAACCAAAAACAGAAAGAAAGAGGGGGAGAGAGAGAGAGAGGGGUGAAAAAAAGCUAUUCCCUCGAGGGGGAAAUGCAGCUCCUUGUCAAACCUGUUUCCCCACAACUGUCUCCUUCUUUCAAUAAAAUCAUUAAACAAAGGCCGCGGGGUUAUGCGCACCACGCCUUGGGUGCCAGCGGCCGGGCGCUGUCCCGGGCUGGGCUUCACCGCGGAGCCUCGCCCGCACCCGCGGAACCCCGCGCAGGCAGCGCGGAGCCGAGCGGAUCCGGGUGGGGAGCGCAGCACCGCGGCCUCGGGCCCGAGUCACUCCUGCCGCCGGGCCCGCUCCCCCCUCGCCUCAAUUUCUUUUCUUUUCUUUUUUCUUUUCUUUUCUUUUUUCUUUUCUUUUCUUUUUUCUUUUCUUUUCUUUUUUCUUUUCUUUUCUUUUCUUUUCUUUUUUCUUUUCUUUUCUUUUCUUUUCUUUUCUUUUCUUUUCUUUUCUUUUCUUUUCUUUUUUCUUUUCCUCUUCUCUUCUCUUCUCUUCUCUUCUCUUCUCUUCUCUUCUCUUCUCUUCUCUUCUCUUCUCUUCUCUUCUCUUCUCUCUUCUCUUCUCUUCUCUUCUCUUCUCUUCUCUUCUCUUCUCUUCUCUUCUCUUCUCUUCUCCUCUCUUCUUCCUCUCCUCUCCUCUCAUCUUCCUCUCCUCUCCUCUCAUCUUCCUCUCCUCUCCUCUCAUCUUCCUCUCCUCUCCUCUCCUCUCCUCUCCUCUCCUCUCCUCUCCUCUCCUCUCCUCUCCUCUCC